UCGUUACUUUUGCUGAUCCAGGUGACAGAAUUAUGGCACUAAGGUGUAAGGAAGUGGAUUGUUUUAAGAUCAACAUAAAAAAAAUUCUACUUACUGCCACCUUGUGUGUGAAGAUCAUUGCUGUAGUCUCAGUCUGCUCUACAGGAAGAGACCAUCUCGGGACACAGCAGGAAGCUGGCCAUCUGCAAUUCAAGGAGAGAAGCCUCGGGAGAAAAUAAACCUGCCAGCACCUUGAUCUUGGACUUUUAGCCUCCAGAGCUGUGAGAAAAUAAAUGUUUGUUGUUUAAGCCA
This is a long non-coding RNA of Symphalangus syndactylus (siamang), 291 nucleotides long. RefSeq lists it as uncharacterized. The record is from RefSeq and is a predicted model, not a curated record. NCBI's taxonomy places the organism in Eukaryota, Metazoa, Chordata, Mammalia, Primates, Hylobatidae.